Molecule: ribosomal RNA, 382 nt
Filed under: uncultured soil bacterium
Lineage: Bacteria
Description: bacterial SSU rRNA
Rfam family: Bacterial small subunit ribosomal RNA
Source: RNAcentral
AGAUUGAACGCUGGCGGCAUGCCUAACACAUGCAAGUCGAACGGGAGUAGCAAUACUCUAGUGGCGGACGGGUGAGGAAUACGUAGGAAUUUGCCCUUAAGUGGGGGAUAACCCGGGGAAACCCGGAUUAAUACCGCAUGACCUCGAAGGAGCAAAGUGGGGGAUCGCAAGACCUCACGCUUUUGGAGAAGCCUACGUCGGAUUAGCUAGUUGGUGAGGUAAUGGCUCACCAAGGCGACGAUCCGUAACUGGUCUGAGAGGAUGAUCAGUCACACCGGAACUGAGACACGGUCCGGACUCCUACGGGAGGCAGCGAGUGGGGAAUAGUUGGACAAGUGGGCGCAAGGCCUGGACUCCAGCAAUGCCGCGUGUGUGAAGAAGG